UGAAAAUCUAGGAUUAACUGUGGAAACAUCAAAAGGCUCAAAUCUUUGCUCUUUGAUUGAUGGAUUUGGUGAAUAUGAUCCCCGUGCCUGUUCAUUGCUUGAGGAGGCAGCUUCACUUGGGAUCGUCCCAUUGACUUCCUUUAAGGGAAGCCCUAUUGUUGUCGAUGUGAGGAAUUUGCAUAUUCAUGCAGCUCAGGUAUAUCUUUUGACUGUCCUAAAGAGUCUCAAGCAUCGUUUGGCUGCAGGUGCAAAAAUACCGAACAUAUCCAUUGUACUCCCUGUAGAGCAGUCACAUAUUCAGACACCCACAGGCCAGAAAACAAUUAAGAUUGCUGGAAGGAUCAACAGGGCAGUUGCAGCACUUUUGAGGAGGCUUGGCCUGCCGUACCAAGGGAAUGAAUCGUUUGGGAAGAUUCGAAUCAAUGGUGUUAUUAUGAAAAGGUGGUUCCAGCCAAAGCUCGAAUCACCUUUUAGUUGGGAACAGACAGGUUUCAGCUUCUCCCAGACACGGCUACGAAAAGGAAUAAGCCAUCAACAACGUACUAUUCGAACUGGUGAUUUGUCCUUAGAUUAGGAGAAGUUCAAGGAGGGCUAAUGAAACUAGACAGCUCAAUUAAUUAAUGAAUUAAUGGUCUGGUUUAGUUAAUGACCAUGAUGAUACAACAGAGUGCUGUAGCUGCCAGUUGACUUUGUAAUGAAAAUUGGAAAACUGGCUAGGUGAAUUUUUGAUGCCAGAGGAGAAAGAAGCAAGAAGAAAGCAUACAAACCGUUACCGCAGAAUCUGUGCUUAAUUGGACUACACAUGGAGCAGUCCAAGUGCCACUGGUUGUUCUAUGUGCAGUUUGUGAUAUUGAGUCGGGCUAUGAUGAGUGGCUAUUUUUGAGCGAAUGCUAGCUAAACAAUUGACAAGGAUACAAG
RNAcentral lists this unclassified non-coding RNA (918 nucleotides) under Hevea brasiliensis (rubber tree). Lineage: Eukaryota; Viridiplantae; Streptophyta; Magnoliopsida; Malpighiales; Euphorbiaceae. The record is from RNAcentral.